CCCAGGGAAAACCCCUCGGUUCCCUGCCUGCAAACAUCUGGCCCCCCAAGUGCCAACAGCUGAGACUCCAGGAGCUCUCCAGGUGCUGAAGGCAGCAGAGAGUCUGGAAAUCUCAUUAAGAGCCCUGAAGUGCAGUCAUUAUUUCCCAAGGCUCCUUUUGGCUGCUGGUAAUUGCUGCAGGCACAACAGGACCGAGGCAGGCAGCCGUGGAUCACAAGUCUCCACCAAGGUUUGUGAGGUCAUGGCCAUCACCACGCAGGAGCUGGUGAGCCACAGCUCCAGCUAAUUAAAACUGCAGGAGCAGAGCAUUCAGCAGGUCUGAGCACAAUUACCCAAGGAAGAAUUUUGCCAGGACACUGUGACUUAGCCCAGUGCUUUCUGCACAAAGUGCUGAAGGAGUUUAAUUGUCACCGCUGAUGGGAGCCCACUCAGUGACUCAUCCCAGCACACAGGGGCUGCUUUUCCCACUCCUGAUUUACUCCCAAGGCCACCACUCCACCAGCAGGACCACACUGGGAAGGGCCAAUGUCCUCUGCGUUUCAGGACACCAGGCUGGAUCCAUGGUUUCCCUUUGGGCCCAUCUCUAACAGCGAGAGCCAGCAGAGGGGCUGGAAUUUGGGAGGAGUCCUCAGGAACCAAAGAAGGAUGCACAUGGCUUGUGCUAAAUCUUGAAGAAGGACCAGGGGGCCAGCCCUGAACAUGUCCCUGCAGAAGGUGUGGUGGAUUCCCACAUAACCCCACCUCCAAACACCUCCUCCCACUCCAGGACUGCUUCCCACUCAGCAGAUCCUCCUCCCUCACACCGCAGCACCAGGCAUGCCACAGCUCAGCACAGCUGUGUAAUGAGAACCAGCCCACACACCUCUGGAUUUUAAGGGAAAGAAAGGGAUGCUCAGGUUCACCAGAGCAAGUUAUGUGGGCAAGCUCAGCUUCUCCAGGAGAAUCCACAUUAAGAAAAUUUAAUUUCAUCAAGCCAUUAAAGAAAUCAAGCUGAGAAAGA
Passer domesticus (house sparrow) is the source of this 1000-nucleotide long non-coding RNA. RefSeq lists it as uncharacterized. Lineage: Eukaryota; Metazoa; Chordata; Aves; Passeriformes; Passeridae. The record is from RefSeq and is a predicted model, not a curated record. The transcript has 2 exons.